Molecule: ribosomal RNA, 265 nt
Filed under: uncultured archaeon
Lineage: Archaea
Description: partial 16S ribosomal RNA
Rfam family: Archaeal small subunit ribosomal RNA
Source: RNAcentral
ACACGACUACAUUAGAUACCCCAGUAGUCCUAGCCGUAAACGAUACUCGCUAGGUGUCGGCCACGGCGCGACCGUUGUCGGUGCCGUAGGGAAGCCGUGAAGCGAGCCACCUGGGAAGUACGGCCGCAAGGCUGAAACUUAAAGGAAUUGGCGGGGGAGCACCACAACGGGUGGAGCUUGCGGUUUAAUUGGAUUCAACGCCGGAAAUCUUACCGGGACCGACAGCAACAUGAAGGCCAGGCUGAAGACUUUGCCGGAUUAGCUG